CUUAUCUGGUCAUUUAUUUUUUACAGUUGGUGAUCAGAUCGGAUUCGAGGAUCAUCCUCUCUCAUGUGUUACGUAUUAGUGAUGCCUACAUGACGGUGGAAAAUUGAGGCGGCUUGAUGGAUCAUUGGCCUCAUGGCAAAAUUGGGGACGGAGGAGGGAGGAGGCUUCAUAUAAGCAUGACUUCAAAAGCUCAGGGAGAUCAAACCGAAGAAAGACAACACUCAGCGCAACAUGCUCGUGUCGAUGAUAUGGGUGCAGAGGAAGAUUGUGAGGAUGAUCAGUGAGAGCAGGGACG
Triticum aestivum (bread wheat) is the source of this 295-nucleotide long non-coding RNA. RefSeq lists it as uncharacterized. The transcript has 3 exons. The record is from RefSeq and is a predicted model, not a curated record. Lineage: Eukaryota; Viridiplantae; Streptophyta; Magnoliopsida; Poales; Poaceae.